Acyrthosiphon pisum (pea aphid) is the source of this 772-nucleotide long non-coding RNA. RefSeq lists it as uncharacterized. Lineage: Eukaryota; Metazoa; Arthropoda; Insecta; Hemiptera; Aphididae. The record is from RefSeq and is a predicted model, not a curated record. The transcript has 3 exons.
UAAUACAUUCCAAUCACAAGAACUCGGCCAUUUUCGAUUCCACAUGCGCACUUAUAUAAAAAAAAAAGGAGCUAGACAAUCCUAUUCUUAAUUUAACAGCGGCUAAAGUAUUAACUCCGGUACUGCAAUAGAAGAAUCGACUUAACAGAUGUGAAGUAUAUUUUAAAUGCUUUGAUACUCAAAUGAAUUGCCAUUACAUUCAAAAACACUAUAAUCAGCCAACAGCUCUCAUCAAGAACCUCCAGAUAGUAUUGAGAAAAAAUUUGAUGAAGACAAUGAAAAUGUGGAAAAAAAAUUGGAGACUUUGACAUGUUAUUCGCAAUCCAUAGUGAUAAUCCUAUUAACAGUGAAGAUACACAAAACAAAGUUUAAGAUUUAUACAACUUAUUUAAUAGUUAAUAAUCAAUUUUAAAUUUAUAAGCUCCCGUUUCAUAAUUUAAAAAUUAUUAUUCCAUUAAGGUUUUGAAAUCUAAGCUCAUCUAAGAUUAACAAAUAAUUGUAUGAGGUUACAUUAAAACACACAUUUUCCCAGCCCCACCCAUUUUUAAUUUUCCAAACUUUGUGUAUGUCUUCCAAUACAUUUCUAUACGUACAUUUCCCCAGCCCCACCCAUUUUUUCACUUUUUCAUUUUAUUCACGACGGAAUAGAAUUUGUAUAAAAUGCUUUAAACGACAUGUCCAAGAAGCAAACAGAAAAAUGAGUAUGCCAUUGAACCCAUAUUUAUUAAGCAGGGCAAUGAUACCAGUUACGGCGAUCAUUCACGCGGUAAUA